Molecule: ribosomal RNA, 336 nt
Filed under: Triticum aestivum (bread wheat)
Lineage: Eukaryota; Viridiplantae; Streptophyta; Magnoliopsida; Poales; Poaceae
Description: partial small subunit ribosomal RNA
Source: RNAcentral
AUGGAUUUGGAUGCUUCGUUGGACGAGGAGUAUGGAAUGACAGAGCUUGACCAAAUGAUUCAAGAUGAGUUCUUCGAUUUGUCGAAUUCGGAUGAAGAAGUGGACAUUGUUAGACUAUAUUUAUAUUUAGCUUAUGUAUAUGGCAUGUAUCUUGUAUUUGUAGUACUAGUACUACGAUUAUUAUUCAGACUACGUAUGGGAAUCGAGAUGAAGAACAUGAAGACGAGGAGGCCAUCCUCGAGGCGGUUGGCGUCGGUGGAGCGGCGGAACGUGAGGCGGCUCAUCACCCUGGGUCCAAACCGGCAACACCAGGGGAUUCCUUCCUUUCCUUCCUGA